This 2051-nucleotide ribosomal RNA is filed under the name Shigella flexneri. Its description in RNAcentral is "partial 23S ribosomal RNA". It matches the Rfam family "Bacterial large subunit ribosomal RNA", at positions 909 to 2925 of the family's 2925-position model. Lineage: Bacteria; Pseudomonadati; Pseudomonadota; Gammaproteobacteria; Enterobacterales; Enterobacteriaceae. RNAcentral also lists the same sequence under 1 other name. The record is from RNAcentral.
ACUGUUUCGGCAAGGGGGUCAUCCCGACUUACCAACCCGAUGCAAACUGCGAAUACCGGAGAAUGUUAUUACGGGAGACACACGGCGGGUGCUAACGUCCGUCGUGAAGAGGGAAACAACCCAGACCGCCAGCUAAGGUCCCAAAGUCAUGGUUAAGUGGGAAACGAUGUGGGAAGGCCCAGACAGCCAGGAUGUUGGCUUAGAAGCAGCCAUCAUUUAAAGAAAGCGUAAUAGCUCACUGGUCGAGUCGGCCUGCGCGGAAGAUGUAACGGGGCUAAACCAUGCACCGAAGCUGCGGCAGCGACGCUUAUGCGUUGUUGGGUAGGGGAGCGUUCUGUAAGCCUGUGAAGGUGUGCUGUGAGGUAUGCUGGAGGUAUCAGAAGUGCGAAUGCUGACAUAAGUAACGAUAAAGCGGGUGAAAAGCCCGCUCGCCGGAAGACCAAGGGUUCCUGUCCAACGUUAAUCGGGGCAGGGUGAGUCGACCCCUAAGGCGAGGCCGAAAGGCGUAGUCGAUGGGAAACAGGUUAAUAUUCCUGUACUUGGUGUUACUGCGAAGGGGGGACGGAGAAGGCUAUGUUGGCCGGGCGACGGUUGUCCCGGUUUAAGCGUGUAGGCUGGUUUUCCAGGCAAAUCCGGAAAAUCAAGGCCGAGGCGUGAUGACGAGGCACUACGGUGCUGAAGCAACAAAUGCCCUGCUUCCAGGAAAAGCCUCUAAGCAUCAGGUAACAUCAAAUCGUACCCCAAACCGACACAGGUGGUCAGGUAGAGAAUACCAAGGCGCUUGAGAGAACUCGGGUGAAGGAACUAGGCAAAAUGGUGCCGUAACUUCGGGAGAAGGCACGCUGAUACGUAGGUGAAGCGACUUGCUCGUGGAGCUGAAAUCAGUCGAAGAUACCAGCUGGCUGCAACUGUUUAUUAAAAACACAGCACUGUGCAAACACGAAAGUGGACGUAUACGGUGUGACGCCUGCCCGGUGCCGGAAGGUUAAUUGAUGGGGUUAGCGCAAGCGAAGCUCUUGAUCGAAGCCCCGGUAAACGGCGGCCGUAACUAUAACGGUCCUAAGGUAGCGAAAUUCCUUGUCGGGUAAGUUCCGACCUGCACGAAUGGCGUAAUGAUGGCCAGGCUGUCUCCACCCGAGACUCAGUGAAAUUGAACUCGCUGUGAAGAUGCAGUGUACCCGCGGCAAGACGGAAAGACCCCGUGAACCUUUACUAUAGCUUGACACUGAACAUUGAGCCUUGAUGUGUAGGAUAGGUGGGAGGCUUUGAAGUGUGGACGCCAGUCUGCAUGGAGCCGACCUUGAAAUACCACCCUUUAAUGUUUGAUGUUCUAACGUGGACCCGUGAUCCGGGUUGCGGACAGUGUCUGGUGGGUAGUUUGACUGGGGCGGUCUCCUCCUAAAGAGUAACGGAGGAGCACGAAGGUUGGCUAAUCCUGGUCGGACAUCAGGAGGUUAGUGCAAUGGCAUAAGCCAGCUUGACUGCGAGCGUGACGGCGCGAGCAGGUGCGAAAGCAGGUCAUAGUGAUCCGGUGGUUCUGAAUGGAAGGGCCAUCGCUCAACGGAUAAAAGGUACUCCGGGGAUAACAGGCUGAUACCGCCCAAGAGUUCAUAUCGACGGCGGUGUUUGGCACCUCGAUGUCGGCUCAUCACAUCCUGGGGCUGAAGUAGGUCCCAAGGGUAUGGCUGUUCGCCAUUUAAAGUGGUACGCGAGCUGGGUUUAGAACGUCGUGAGACAGUUCGGUCCCUAUCUGCCGUGGGCGCUGGAGAACUGAGGGGGGCUGCUCCUAGUACGAGAGGACCGGAGUGGACGCAUCACUGGUGUUCGGGUUGUCAUGCCAAUGGCACUGCCCGGUAGCUAAAUGCGGAAGAGAUAAGUGCUGAAAGCAUCUAAGCACGAAACUUGCCCCGAGAUGAGUUCUCCCUGACCCUUUAAGGGUCCUGAAGGAACGUUGAAGACGACGACGUUGAUAGGCCGGGUGUGUAAGCGCAGCGAUGCGUUGAGCUAACCGGUACUAAUGAACCGUGAGGCUUAACCUUACAACGCCGAAG